RNAcentral lists this long non-coding RNA (281 nucleotides) under Homo sapiens (human). RNAcentral describes it as "HSALNT0054896". Lineage: Eukaryota; Metazoa; Chordata; Mammalia; Primates; Hominidae. The record is from RNAcentral.
GUUUGAACAUUUCAUGUUCCUGUGCCUUCAGGGUUUCUUUUGGAUGGUGUGACCAGAUUAUGGGUGACAUGUCUUAGGAUCUUAGGUUCAGAGGAUGCCAUGGACAUCAAUCUUCCAUCCCUUUAAAUGGAUUCUGCCAAGAAGACAAGAUUGGAUUAAAAUACUUUACAAAAUUUUCCGAGUAUGUGUUUUGCCAUGGACAUCAAACUAAACAAUGGAAACAGUGAUCCAGGGAAACCAGCGCAAAAACUAAUAAGGGGAAAGAAAAAGACUCACAGCAU